GGGGGCGACCUGGCUUCGACGGGGGUAGCAAAACCUGAGGUGCAUGCCGAGCAUGUAGAUGAUCUCGUAAAUCUUCUCUACAAAUUAUAGUUGCAAACGACGACAACUACGCACUCGCUGCUUAAUACCCAGUAGGGUGCCAUCGGACCAAUGCCGUGCUUGUGCGAUUGGACUCCCGGUGUCAUAUCUCACAAGAUCGCGUGGACGCUCUUCCGGGGCCGAAGCGUUAAAACCUUACCGGAAUCGCCGCUUGUCUUCCCUGCCUGUCGGGUAGCAAACGGUUAAAUCAAUAGACAGAAUAAGCAUGUAGAGCCAAAGGCGGAGUGCUCUC
RNAcentral lists this transfer-messenger RNA (331 nucleotides) under Gammaproteobacteria bacterium. RNAcentral describes it as "partial transfer-messenger RNA". It matches the Rfam family "transfer-messenger RNA". Rfam says of the family: Bacterial tmRNA, also known as 10Sa RNA or SsrA, is named for its dual tRNA and mRNA-like properties. Its role is to liberate the mRNA from a stalled ribosome. Lineage: Bacteria; Pseudomonadati; Pseudomonadota; Gammaproteobacteria. The record is from RNAcentral.